This is a long non-coding RNA of Gorilla gorilla gorilla (western lowland gorilla), 4571 nucleotides long. RefSeq lists it as uncharacterized. The transcript is spliced from 6 exons. The record is from RefSeq and is a predicted model, not a curated record. NCBI's taxonomy places the organism in Eukaryota, Metazoa, Chordata, Mammalia, Primates, Hominidae.
GCACGCCUGUAAUCCCAGCUACUUGGGAAGCUGAAGCAGGAGAAUCACUUGAACCCGGGAGGUGGAGCCGAGAAUGCAUCAUUGCACUCCGGCUCGGGCAACGAGCGAAACUCCAUCUCAAAAAAAAAAAAAAAAAAAAAGAAAAUCUCACAGGUAAUUUACUAGUACAUUGACCUAUAGUUCUAAAAUUCGAAAAGUGGUUUCUAAAAUGUAAGCAAUUUAUUUCAGAAAAAUAAAUUCUUCAAAAUUUGGGGGAACAUUUUUAAAAUGAUUUUAACAUUUCUAUUAUUAAAAAGUAAUCUAUGUUAAACAUAAUUUUUAAAAAGUGUUGAAAUCAUGACUUAUACAAACAUGAAUGAAUGGCUAUCAAAGCUUUACUUUAACUCAUUUAUUAAUAAAAGAACCAAUAAGAUAUUACUACCAGUUCAAAAGAGAAUUUAAAAUAUGCAUACAUAGGCAAUCAGGGACACUGAAGUAAAUUUACAAAUAGAUACAAAACUGGUCAAUAUCCCAGGAGAAGUAACCAAGUGCAUCACCACCAAACACAAUUUGCAUUUCUAUGGACACAAAUCACCUGCAUUACUAUCAGUUUUCUACAGUUUAUAGUUGUAAAAUAGCUCAAAGACAAGGAAAGUUAGUGAGAACUUGGAAGGGUGAACUAGGCAAGACAGACUACAAUCUUUUUUUUUCUGGUCCAUUUCAAAGUCUUACACAGUUUUUAUAGACACUUGCCUGAUUAUAAGUUCAAAGAAGGGAUAAUGGAUAGCUAGUAGAACAUCUUAACAAUGAUCCCUUCCUUACACCUUAUACAAAAAUUAAUUCAAGAUAGAUUAAAGAUUUAAACAUAAGACCUAAAACCAUAAAAACCCUAGAAGAAAACCUAGGCAAUAGCAUUCAGGACAUAGGCAUGGGCGAAGACUUCAUGACUUAAACACCAAAAGCAAUGGCAACAAAAGUCAAAAUAGAUAAAUGGGAUCUAAUUAAACUAAAGUGCUUCUGCACAGCAAAAGAAACUAUCAUGAGAGUGAACAGGCAAAAUACAGAAUGGGAGAAAAUUUUUGCAAUCUAUCAUUUUGACAAAGGGCUAAUAUCCAGAAUCUACAAGAACUUAAACAAAUUUACAAGAAAAAAUCAAACAACCCCAUCAAAAAGUGGGAGAAGGAUAUGAAUAGACACUUCUCUAAAGAAGACAUUUAUGCAGCCAGCAAACAUGAAAAAAAAAAAGCUCAUCAUCAAUGGUCAUUAGAGAAAUGCAAAUCAAAACCACAAUGAGAUACCAUCUCAUGCCAGUUAGAAUGGCAAUCAUUAAAAUGUCAGGAAGCAACAGAUGCUGGAGAGGAUGUGGAAAAAUAGGAACGCUUUUACACUGUUGGUGCGAGUGCAAACUAGUUCAACCAUUGUGGAAGUCAGUGUGGCGAUUCUUCAAGGAUCUGGAACCAGAAACACCAUUUGACCCAGCAAUCCCAUUACUGGUUAUAUACCCAAAGGAUUAUAAAUCAUUCUACUGUAAAGACACAUGCACAUGUAUGUUUAUUGUGGCACUAUUCACAAUAGCAAAGACUUGGAACCAACCCAAAUGUCCCUCAGUGAUAAACUGGAUAAAGAAAACGUGGCACAUAUACACUAUGGAAUACUAUGCAGCCAUAAAAAAGGAUGAGUUCAUGUCCUUUGCAGGGACAUGGAUGGAGCUGAAAACUGUCAUUCUUAGCAAACUAACAGAAGAACAGAAAACCAAACACCGCAUGUUCUCACUCAUAAGUGGGAGUUGGACAAUGAGAACACAUGGACACAGGGAGGGGAACAUCACACACCAGGGCCUGUCGGGGGGUGGGCGGCUAGGAGAGGAAUAGCAUUAGGAGAAAUACCUAAUGUAAAUGACGGGUUGAUGGGUGCAGCAAACCACCAUGGCAUGUGUAUAUCUAUGUAACAAACCUGCACGUUCUGCACAUGUACUCCAGAACUUAAAGUAUAAUAAUAAUAAUAAUAAUAUAAUAAUAAUAAAAUGAUUAUAAUUGAGUUUAGUGCCCAAAAUUUAAAUUAAUGGGUAAGUAAUCAAAACAGGAAUUUCCGAUAUGCUAAUUUCAGAUUAUUCUUAGCCCUCUGUUGCUACGUUCUCUGUGGUUUUCUUUGUGGUAUAGUAGAAAGGGCACUAGACUUGCUGGUGGAGGUUGUAUUCUCAGAGGUAUGAUUUACCUGUUGAUGCGGCUUUUGUUGAAUUAACUCAAUCUCUCUGAGCCUCAGUGUUCUCCCUGGAAAAUGUGGAUAAUUAUUUACUCUACAAGACUCACCAUAUCACUGCUUAGCAGAUUCAGUGAAAGGAUGCAUGAUGAUGAACCAUAAAGGUAUCCCUCCUUCAGACCCUGCCAAGGAGGUCACAUUCACACAUCACUGUCUGUUCUGCAGCUCCACUUCAAUGUCUUAGGGUCAUCUCAAAACUAACCAGGCCAAAGCUCUGCUGUUGAUUCCCACUUUCAUCCCUCAAAACUUAUUUUGCUUCAUGGCAUCACCAUCCACCCUGUUUCUUAUUCCAAAAACCCAGGGUUCAUUGAGGAUUAACCACUUCCUUUACCCUCACAUCUAAUCUAACACCCCACCUUACUGGCUUUACUUUCAAAGUAUCUUUCUAGUCUCACCAUUCUCACAAUUUCCAAUGUUACCACCCGGGACCAAGCCAAUACCAGCACUUUGGAGACUGAGGAGGGAGGAUCAUGAGGUCAGGAGUUCGAGACCAGCCUGUCCAGCAUGGUGAAACCCUGUCUCUACUAAAAAUACAAAAAAUUAGCUGGGCAUGGUGGUGCAUGCCUGUAGUCCCAGCUACCCGGGAGGCUGAGGCAGGAGAAUCACUUGAACCCGGGUGGCGGAGGUUGCAGUGAGCCGAGAUCAUACCACUGCACUCUAGCCUGGGUGAUAGAGCGAGACUCUGUCUCAAAAAAAAGAAAAGGUGAAAUUCCCCCACGCCUCAUAUCUUAAAAGGACUACACCUCAUGUCCUAAAAGGAUGACAUGUCCUAAAAGGAUGACAUGUCCUCAUGUCCUAAAACAACUACCUACCGUGCUGUCUAACUCUCUGCCUUUGUGUCUUUGUUUCCCUUUGGCUGCCUGUCUCCAGCCACACUGACCUUAAUAUUCUGUACUGGGCCAUGCCCCUUCCUGCUGCAGGGACUUUGAAUUUGCUGUGUCCUCUGCUGAGAACAUUCCCUCUGAAGAUUCAGAACCCUUUAUACUACUCCAACACCAAAUAUUUAAUCUGUCAAUCUAAUCUUGGAUAUUUGAAAUCUUCUCCAUACAUAUCAUGAGAUAUUCUUCGCCAGAAUAAGCUUUUGUUUCACUACCAAGAGGUGAGUGCAUUUUGAAAUCCACUGGAACCUCACAGGUAUUGAAUCUCUUCUGUGCACAUUUGGAUGUGGAAAAUGGAAACUUGUAAGUCUACGGAAACUAAACCAGAGCAGGUUUUAUAGUUGGGCCUAAGAUACAGUUCCUAGGGUUCAGUUUAAAAAUAUUUUCUAUUUUUUCCUGGAUUUUAUUGCAAAUGUUUUGUCGCUGUUUUGAUUCUGUUUUUGUCUACACCUGGGUUUAAUUCCUCCACUAUUAGGUACUCACUGUGCUGUGAUGGUUUGAAUGCAGGUUUGGCCUCCUCUCCAGCCUGUGACUACCGAGAAGACAGGGCACCUGUCCUAUUCACCUUUGUAUCUCUGGUGUCUCACUCAGGAUCCGGCACAGUGCUUGCCAAGGACCUGCUCUGCGCCAGGGGCUGCUGGAGCUGGGAACCUAAUGAUCACAGUGUCAGCCUCUGCCAGCCUUUGUAUGUGUGGCAGGGGUGGUUUUGAGUCCCACCAUCUUCCAUCCCUGAUGCUUGGAGAAGCUGAGGACACACAGGGGUGUACAGGGAGCAUGGUGCCAGCAUCUGCUUCUGAUGAGGCCUCAGGAAGCUUCCAAUCAUGGCAAAAGGUGAAGUGGGAGCAGACACAUCACAUGGAUCAAAUACACGGACCGCAUCACCCAGCCUUGUAGCCUUCCGCAUCCUGGGGAGAGGGGUCCCAGCCAGCACUCGCGGUGAGAACAGAGCUCCCUCUCGGGACCCCGUUAUGCUGACCCUGGCUUCCACUUCUAGGAGAAAUAAAGCAUAGAAAGUCCUGUUGGUGAUGCUGACAUCUUUCGAGAUGAUUGAUUCAUCCCUGACAAGAGAAGACGCUCUGGGGUUCCAGCUGCCCACCGCUCAGACAAUACCGAUUUGCAGGUGCUGACGCCAAUCCCGCCAGUUUGAUUUGGAUGUAGCAGGGUCUCACUCUGUUGCCCAUGCUGGAAUGCACUGGCCUGAUCACAGCUCCCUGCAGCCUCAACCUUCUGGGCUCAAGUGAUCCUCCCACUUCAGCCUCCUGAGUAGUGGGACUACAGGUGUGCAACACCACAUCUGGCUAAUUUUUGUAUGUUUUGUAGAGACUGGGGUCUUAACGAUAUUGUCCAGGCUGGUCUCAAACUCCUAAGCUCAAGUGAUCCUCCCAGCUUGGCCUCCCAAAGUGCUGGGAUUACAGGUGUGAAUCACCAUGCCUGGCCUUGAUAUUUUAAAUUAAA